This 444-nucleotide ribosomal RNA is filed under the name uncultured bacterium. RNAcentral describes it as "bacterial SSU rRNA". It matches the Rfam family "Bacterial small subunit ribosomal RNA", at positions 954 to 1395 of the family's 1533-position model. The record is from RNAcentral.
GCUUAACGCGAAGAACCUUACCAGCUUUUGACAUGUCCGGUUUGAGGAACAGAGAUGUACCUCUUCAGUUCGGCUGGCCGGAACACAGGUGCUGCAUGGCUGUCGUCAGCUCGUGUCGUGAGAUGUUGGGUUAAGUCCCGCAACGAGCGCAACCCUCGCCCCUAGUUGCCAUCAUUCAGUUGGGAACUCUAGGGGGACUGCCGGUGAUAAGCCGCGAGGAAGGUGGGGAUGACGUCAAGUCCUCAUGGCCCUUACAGGCUGGGCUACACACGUGCUACAAUGGCGGUGACAAUGGGCAGCGAAAGGGUGACCUCGAGCUAAUCCCAAAAAGCCGUCUCAGUUCAGAUUGUACUCUGCAACUCGAGUACAUGAAGGUGGAAUCGCUAGUAAUCGUGGAUCAGCAUGCCACGGUGAAUACGUUCCCGGGUCUUGUACACACCGGGG